This 62-nucleotide microRNA precursor is filed under the name Ciona intestinalis (vase tunicate). RNAcentral's name for it is "microRNA cin-mir-4008c precursor". Lineage: Eukaryota; Metazoa; Chordata; Ascidiacea; Phlebobranchia; Cionidae. The record is from miRBase by way of RNAcentral.
UGGCAGUGAUCGCAAGUUAGUGCCCUGUUGUUUUGCAUAUACAGGGGCUAAAUUGCCUGCCA